This 378-nucleotide ribosomal RNA is filed under the name Triticum aestivum (bread wheat). RNAcentral's name for it is "partial small subunit ribosomal RNA". Lineage: Eukaryota; Viridiplantae; Streptophyta; Magnoliopsida; Poales; Poaceae. The record is from RNAcentral.
AUGGUUGCCAAGAUACGAACUAAUAGUGCAAUUGAUCCAGAGUGGAAAUUUGACCAAGGGCGUGCACGUAGAGCACUGGCAAAGUUGAUUGUGCUACAUGAAUUACCUUUCACUUUUGUUGAAUAUCCUGGCUUUAGGUCCUUUGUUAAGACCUUGAAUCCAUGGUUCAACGUGGUAUGCAGAGAAACAAUUAAGCAAGAUUGCAUUGAUGCAUAUGAUAGACACAAAAAAGAAAUUCAAGCACUUUUUAGCAAUCUAAGUUCUCGAGUAUCAUUAACGGGUGACAUGUGGACAUCCAAUCAGAAGCUGGGUUAUUUAUGCAUAACUGCCCACUUUAUUGAUGGCUCAUGGACUCUACAAAACAGAAUAAUCAGAUUU